UCGGGAAUUUUGGGCAAUGGGCGAAAGCCUGACCCAGCAACGCCGCGUGAAGGAUGAAGUAUUUCGGUAUGUAAACUUCGUAAGAAUAGGAAGAAUAAAUGACGGUACUAUUUGUAAGGUCCGGCUAACUACGUGCCAGCAGCCGCGGUAAUACGUAGGGACCAAGCGUUGUUCGGAUUUACUGGGCGUAAAGGGCGCGUAGGCGGUGUGUCAAGUCAGUUGUGAAAUCUCCGAGCUUAACUCGGAACGGUCAACUGAUACUGUCACACUAGAGUACAGAAGGGGCAAUCGGAAUUCUUGGUGUAGCGGUGAAAUGCGUAGAUAUCAAGAGGAACACCUGAGGCGAAGGCGGGUUGCUGGGCUGAUACUGACGCUGAGGCGCGAAAGCUAGGGGUAGCAAACGGGGAUUAGAUACCCUUGUAGUCCCUGAGCGGGCUGGCAAGGCGCAU
This 449-nucleotide ribosomal RNA is filed under the name uncultured bacterium. RNAcentral's name for it is "bacterial SSU rRNA". It matches the Rfam family "Bacterial small subunit ribosomal RNA", at positions 355 to 825 of the family's 1533-position model. The record is from RNAcentral.